RNAcentral lists this ribosomal RNA (215 nucleotides) under Campeiostachys nutans. Its description in RNAcentral is "Elymus nutans partial small subunit ribosomal RNA". The stretch from base 38 to 215 matches the Rfam family "Eukaryotic small subunit ribosomal RNA", at positions 685 to 864 of the family's 1831-position model. Lineage: Eukaryota; Viridiplantae; Streptophyta; Magnoliopsida; Poales; Poaceae. The record is from RNAcentral.
GGAUCAGAUUGUCGGUCGUGCCUCGGUACGUACUGGCAUUAUUGGUUCCUACCUUCUGAAGAGCCGCGAUGUCAUUAAUUUGGUGUUGCGGGGAAUUUGGACAGUUACUUUGAAAAAAUUAGAGUGUUUAAAGCAAGCUAACGCUUGAAUACAUUAGCAUGGAAUGAUGAAAUAGGACGUUCGAUCCUAUUUUGUUGGUUUCUAGGAUUGACGUA